Quercus robur (English oak) is the source of this 1200-nucleotide long non-coding RNA. RefSeq lists it as uncharacterized. The transcript has 5 exons. The record is from RefSeq and is a predicted model, not a curated record. Lineage: Eukaryota; Viridiplantae; Streptophyta; Magnoliopsida; Fagales; Fagaceae.
ACGAUAGCCUGAAACUAAAAAACUAAAUGUAAUACCCAACCUUCCUAAAAAAAAAAAAAAUUCACGCUCUCUCAACACUCAAUCUCUAUCCAAGCUCGGCAAUCCUGGAAAUCACAUAGUAUUCAAGCUCAAAUUCGUGAUUUCUUCGUCCGUGUCUCUUUUUCUCUCAAUCAAAGCUCGGUGUUCUCUUCGUGACUUCGUCUCUCUCGGUCACGGUGUGUUUUCUUCGUCUCUCAAUCGCAUUGAUAAUAAUUGAAAACUCAAAAAUCGAAGGUAUCCUCUCAUCUCGACUCCAACACCGCUGAUUCCACUAGUUUGAUUACAGUUGUCCUUUGUUUUGAAAAACAAAAGAAGGGUAAAAGAGCAAAAAUUGUGUCCAAAUUCGACAGCUAGUCCACGUUUUGAAGAGAGAAUUAUUUCAAGAUUUGGCUCCAUUUUACAGAAAAGGAGCUAGGGUUGCGUGAACUGAAGCCACAGGACCACUUUGCAACUUAGCAAACAAAGGGUACGUGCUAAGAAUAUCCUGUUUACAUAGCAUAUACCAGAAUUGUCUGAUUUUUUUUAUCAGGUAUAUAUAGAUAUGAACACCCGAAACUAUUCAUCAACGAAAUGGAUCAAGCGUAUGCAUAUAUGCAUGGUUGCAUUACUGGGCAAUUAGUCCUUUGGCAGUUAACCACUCACCUGCACUUCAUACACGUACGUGAUUUAGUUCACAAGGCAGAGACGUUCAUUGCCAAAGGAUAUUUGCCCGGCAAUUCAGCUGUGCAAUCAUUCAGUCACCUUAGAUAUAUAUCAAACCCAAGGUAAUGUUUCUAUAAUACCAAGGCACUAGUUGUUACUGACAUACACGCAUUAACCUUUUUCUCUCUCCUUUUCUUAGGGUAACUAGGUCAUAUCUGUACAUGUAUAACAGUCAAACACGUGGUUGCACAUACACGCACAUGGUGUCUAAUUUUCUCUUUGCAUUCACAAUUACAAGCAAGAGAAACGCGAACAAAGUUUAACAUUUUUGCAAUACGGUGGUGCUAGGGAUACUAUCGAUUUUUCUCCAUAGGUAUUGCACACCAAUAUAUCACCAAUUACAAAAAGUAAGUUAAACACUUAUUUAUUAUCUUGUUAAAGUGAUUCCAAAUAAAUUUAUUGUCAAUUUAUAAGUUUAUUAUACUAAAAUUUCUAUUAACUUUAUUCUGUAAUAUAUAU